Peromyscus californicus insignis is the source of this 3140-nucleotide long non-coding RNA. RefSeq lists it as uncharacterized. Lineage: Eukaryota; Metazoa; Chordata; Mammalia; Rodentia; Cricetidae. The transcript is spliced from 2 exons. The record is from RefSeq and is a predicted model, not a curated record.
UUCCUUCUUGUCUCAGGUGGUCAGUUUCUCGGCCGGCAGGAGAGGUUGCUGGGAUCCCCACAAUCAAGAGUUUCGCUCCUGUGUACACUCCCAAGCAUGAUGCUCUGUCUUUCCACAGGUGCAGAAACGACAGACCAAGCGACUAUGGACCAGUGAAAUGGACGGAACUGGAAAAUAUCACGUGAAGUGAAAUAACUGAAAGACAAGGGCUGAGUGUUUGCUCUCACAUGCGGACCUAGAGACUGAAGGCAGAAUGAACAGAAGUUGGAAAGAGUGGGGAGCAAGAACAAAAGGAGGCUGGUUUUGACCACAGCAUGCUUUGUGCAUGUACAGAAACACUAGUGAAUUUGUACACAAAAUUACUGCAUGCUAACGACAAUUUAAAAGCUUACAUUUUAAAUAAUAAAAAGCGAUUUUGAAAAGAGCCUCAGAAAAGCUCAAGAACAUAGACUUGAUUUUUUUCCCAUGCCCUUCAAUUUAACAAUGCUGAGUACUCACUACAGGGAGGAACUUUGCUUGAUGCUGUGUGCUUAGAAAUGACUUUAACAGCUGGAGAUAGAAUCGAAUGUGAGCAAUUACUGGGUGUGAGUCAAGCUGUAGCUUUCUCUCAUCUAAAAUGACAGUUAUGGUGAUGGCAGACUGAGACCGUCCUGUGGGGAAAAGGUGUCAACUGAGGCCAGUUACACUCCUCAGUACUUCAAGCCAUACUCAGCAGAUUGGGAGAAAGAUCAAUUUGUGCAAUUCCACAACGGUUAGUGUAACAUAAGAGUGAGAGUAACUAUAUUUCUGUUGAACUCCCAGUAUUUUUAUAUGGUUUUGCUUUCUGACUUGAGGAUCCUACACUUUUCCAUGGUGCUAGGAGUCAAGGCCAGGGCAUGUUGUGAGCACUCCACCCCUGAGCUGCAUUCCGGCCCCCUUCUUUGAGAAUCUUCAAACGCUGCAGCAAAUCUCUCAGCUGCUCUACUUAUGAAUACGAUUUUUCUCUUGGAGUGAAAACGUCAAUCUCAUUUCUUGCUUUCCACAUAAAAGCAACUGAAAGUGUUUUGUUCAGCCUUUGUAUUUUGAGUUGGACACCUGUACCAAUGACUUGGAAAGAAUAAAUCAGCUUAGAUUAUAUUAACAUCACUGUAAUAGGAAUUUUAAAAAUGUGUGUGUGCAUAUGCUUGAGUACACAUAUGCCAUGUGUAUGUGCAUGUGUACAGGUCAGGGGACAAGCUGUGGAGGUUCUUCCUUUCACAGGUGGGUCUGUGAUUGAACUUAGGUUGUCCCAUUUGGCAACAGGCACCUUUACCAACUGAACUAUCUCUCCAGCCUCAGUAGGAAAUUUUUCAAAGGAGAAUUUAAGAAUCAUUUUGUAUGUGAAAUAUUAAUGUAUGAUGGGAAAAAAAUCACGAUUCAAUACUGGAAGUUAAGAGGAAAGCUUAUUUUUUAGACAGGGUCAUAUAGCCCCAUACAGCUCAGGCUGGUCUUGAACUCACUACGUAUUUGAGGCUGGCCUUGAACUUCUGAUCCUCCUGCCCCCACCUCCCAAGUACUGGAAUUACAAGCAUGCACUAUCAUAUUUGGCAGCUUUAUUAUUAUUAUUUUUUUUAAUGUGAGACUCCAGCAUCAUUCAUAAACUUUAAAUAUCUUCUUUGAAAAGAUUAAAAACUGUGGUUUAGAUUCAACAUGAUUGUCAGCAGAACAGGAAGCUAAUCAUGCUCCUCUCACAGCAGUAUUUUUCCUGAAUGAAGAACUGAAACAGACAGAAUUUCAAAAGUAUUUUAUUCCAAAUUCCCCAUCUAGGAGAAAGGAUAUAUAACAGUGUUUACACAUGCUUCAAUAACUUAUUUCACUGUACAACUUACAUUCUCUAUAGCAACACAGUAAACCAGCGAAAGAAAACAAUUAGCACUUAAAUAAGACUCUAUUGUGUAAAGUAAUGAGUGUGGGACACGGAAAGGUGAGAUCUACACAUUUUACCACAACUGAGCGGCUUGGAGUUCAUAAGCCAUCCUGGUCAGUGUGUGUUUAAAAAUCAAGAUGUCUACACUUUUCUGAUUUGUACUGUCACAGCCACUGUGACCUUUCAGAAUAGAACUUUUUUUUCUUGCUAAAUUUGGUGGGUGGGGAAAGGGCUCUAUUUUUAUCCCUUUUGUAAAAAAUAAAUAUAUUCUCCCUUUUCUGUUAAGUCCAGUUUUAAAUAAAAUACUUAUUUGUGUUUAUGCAUACUCCUAUGUCAACACUACUCUAGCACAGAACUCUACUGAUCAGUAUUUCACAGCCAGCAAGAUGGUCAAACAUUACAGUACCAAACACAGACCACUGAGCUUGCCAUAAUAGCACCUAGAAAAAGAGUACUGGGGUCAGAGUUCUCCUGCUGUUCUUGUGAUGCAGGCAACGUGGAAAACACCACAGAAUCCAGGCAAAAACGUAAGGAAGGAGGCAAGAAACUUUUCAGAUCUAGAAAGAUCUUAUCAGCUCAUGUAUUCUCUGACAUAUUUUACAAGGAGUUCCAAGCCAGGCACACUGCAGACAGUGCACAAGAUAAGUCAGAUGGAGACGACUGAGCAGUGAAAUCUGACCCUCCGCCAAGAAAUUACAUUUCCAAGACUGGGAAAGGCACAGGAGGUGCACAUUUUAAUUUGGCUCAGAAAUAAUGAAAAUUAAUUUUAAAAGUUGGCAACAAUUACAAAAACAAAAUGCCACUUUCUUUGACAAAGUUACAAUAAACCAACAGAAAGCAUACCACGGUUCACGAUAUUCAGUGACCACACAUGACUGCUUGGCAUUUCUAUACAGACUGCAUCUGGAAGACUAAGUCUAUAAAGGAAGAGCUAACAACUGAUUUCACCCAGAACUCUGCUUUAUCAAUGCCUUCUUCCAAACGCUAAUCUAUAGUCAAGCUAAGUUCCUUGCUGUGGAACUGGAAACUUGAAAGGCUCUAAUUUUCAGUUGUUGCAGAAGUAUGUAAUCCUACACACCACGGGACACUGAGGGACAGAAAGUCAACUCGCACUGUAUCUGCGAAAGCUAAGUAGGGUUUCACUGUGAUACACGUAAACGAUGAAUCAUAAGUUUAAAAAAAAAAACAGCAGUUAUGUCAAGUUUAUAAUCUAUCAUUCAUAUCUUUAAAAGACAGCAAUAGUAUUUAGGAUAAC